UACGAAGGGUGCAAACGUUGCCCGGAAUUAUUGGGCGUAAAGCGCACGUAGGCGGCUUGUCAAGUCGGAUGUGAAAUCCCUCGGCUCAACCAAGGAAGUGCAUCCGAAACUGCCGAGCUUGAGUACUUAAGAGGAUCGCGGAAUUCCCGGUGUAGCGGUGAAAUGCGCAGAUAUCGGGAGGAACACCGGUGGCGAAGGCGGUUCUCUGGGCCUUACCUGACGCUGAGGAGCGAAAGCGUGGGGAGCGAACAGG
RNAcentral lists this ribosomal RNA (253 nucleotides) under uncultured bacterium. Its description in RNAcentral is "partial 16S ribosomal RNA". It matches the Rfam family "Bacterial small subunit ribosomal RNA", at positions 524 to 776 of the family's 1533-position model. The record is from RNAcentral.